This 279-nucleotide signal recognition particle RNA is filed under the name Jaculus jaculus (lesser Egyptian jerboa). RNAcentral describes it as "Metazoan signal recognition particle RNA (ENSJJAG00000006594.1)". It matches the Rfam family "Metazoan signal recognition particle RNA". Rfam says of the family: The signal recognition particle (SRP) is a universally conserved ribonucleoprotein. It is involved in the co-translational targeting of proteins to membranes. Lineage: Eukaryota; Metazoa; Chordata; Mammalia; Rodentia; Dipodidae. The record is from RNAcentral.
ACUGGUAAAUGAGUCCCAUCUACUCAGGAGGCUGAGGCAAGAGGGUCGCUUGAGUCCAGCAGGUCUGGGCUGUAGUGCACAAUGCUGAUCAGGUGUCCUCACUAAGUACAGCAUCAAUAUGGUGACCUCCUGGGAACAGAGGACCACCAGGCUGCCUAAGGAAGGGUUAAGCAGCCCAGGAUGAAACAGGUCAAGACUCCCAUGCUGAUCACUAGUAGGAUCGCGCCUGUGGAUAGCCAUGGCACUCCAGCCUAGGCAACAUAGUGAGACCCCAUCCCU